ACUGACAGCCAUGGUUACCGCGGCUGCUGGCACGGAGUUAGCCGGUGCUUCUUCUGCGAGUAACGUCACAGAUGUAAGGUAUUAACUUACACCCUUUCCUCCUCGCUGAAAGUGCUUUACAACCCGAAGGCCUUCUUCACACACGCGGCAUGGCUGCAUCAGGGUUUCCCCCAUUGUGCAAUAUUCCCCACUGCUGCCUCCCGUAGGAGUCUGGGCCGUGUCUCAGUCCCAGUGUGGCUGAUCAUCCUCUCAGACCAGCUAGGGAUCGUCGCCUAGGUGAGCCUUUACCUCACCUACUAGCUAAUCCCACCUGGGCUUAUCCAUCAGCGCAAGGCCCGAAGGUCCCCUGCUUUCCCCCGUAGGGCGUAUGCGGUAUUAGCAGUCGUUUCCAACUGUUAUCCCCCACAAAUGGGCAAAUUCCCAGGCAUUACUCACCCGUCCGCCGCUCGUCAUCUUCAAAAGCAAGCUUUUGAAAUGUUACCGCUCG
RNAcentral lists this ribosomal RNA (487 nucleotides) under uncultured bacterium. RNAcentral describes it as "partial 16S ribosomal RNA". The record is from RNAcentral.